UACGUAGGGUGCAAGCGUUGUCCGGAAUUAUUGGGCGUAAAGAGCUCGUAGGCGGUCUGUCGCGUCGGCUGUGAAAACCCGGGGCUCAACCCCGGGCCUGCAGUCGAUACGGGCAGACUAGAGUGCGGUAGGGGAGACUGGAAUUCCUGGUGCAGCGGUGAAAUGCGCAGAUAUCAGGAGGAACACCGGUGGCGAAGGCGGGUCUCUGGGCCGUUACUGACGCUGAGGAGCGAAAGCGUGGGGAGCGAACAGG
Molecule: ribosomal RNA, 253 nt
Filed under: uncultured bacterium
Lineage: Bacteria
Description: partial 16S ribosomal RNA
Rfam family: Bacterial small subunit ribosomal RNA
Source: RNAcentral